GUGGCGAACGGGUGAGUAACACGUGAGCAAUCUGCCCUUGACUCUGGGAUAACUGCGGGAAACUGUAGCUAAUACCGGAUACUUUCCUCGCUGGGCAUCCGGCGGGGAAGAAAGAAUUUCGGUCAAGGAUGAGCUCGCGGCCUAUCAGCUAGUUGGUGAGGUAAAGGCUCACCAAGGCGACGACGGGUAGCCGGCCUGAGAGGGUGACCGGCCACACUGGAACUGAGACACGGUCCAGACUCCUACGGGAGGCAGCAGUGGGGAAUAUUGCACAAUGGGCGAAAGCCUGAUGCAGCAACGCCGCGUGAGGGAUGAAGGCCUUCGGGUUGUAAACCUCUUUUAGCAGGGAAGAAGCGAAAGUGACGGUACCUGCAGAAAAAGCACCGGCUAACUACGUGCCAGCAGCCGCGGUAAUACGUAGGGUGCAAGCGUUGUCCGGAAUUAUUGGGCGUAAAGAGCUCGUAGGCGGUUUGUCACGUCUGCUGUGAAAAUCCGAGGCUCAACCUCGGACUUGCAGUGGGUACGGGCAGGCUAGAGUGCGGUAGGGGAGAAGGGAAUUCCUGGUGUAGCGGUGGAAUGCGCAGAUAUCAGGAGGAACACCAAUGGCGAAGGCACUUCUCUGGGCCGUAACUGACGCUGAGGAGCGAAAGCGUGGGGAGCGAACAGGAUUAGAUACCCUGGUAGUCCAC
Molecule: ribosomal RNA, 689 nt
Filed under: uncultured Microbacteriaceae bacterium
Lineage: Bacteria; Bacillati; Actinomycetota; Actinomycetes; Micrococcales; Microbacteriaceae
Description: bacterial SSU rRNA
Rfam family: Bacterial small subunit ribosomal RNA
Source: RNAcentral